RNAcentral lists this microRNA precursor (72 nucleotides) under Myotis brandtii (Brandt's bat). RNAcentral describes it as "mir-9193 microRNA precursor family". It matches the Rfam family "mir-9193 microRNA precursor family". The record is from Rfam by way of RNAcentral. Lineage: Eukaryota; Metazoa; Chordata; Mammalia; Chiroptera; Vespertilionidae.
CUUGGGGGGGUGGGUCCUCAGCCUGGAUUGUGAAAGGACGCAGGCCAGGGUGAGGGACCCCACCGGUGCACA